Molecule: long non-coding RNA, 1164 nt
Organism: Trichomycterus rosablanca
Lineage: Eukaryota; Metazoa; Chordata; Actinopteri; Siluriformes; Trichomycteridae
Exons: 3
Source: RefSeq, a predicted model, not a curated record
GUUAGUGAAGGCGACGGUUAGGCUGAUUUUUGUCUGUAUCUCGGACCCCUAUCACUGAGGGCCAGACCUAACAUAUGUGUGCAGUAGCCGACCACAUCUCUUCACCUGCUAGUGGCCGGUGCACAAAAGGAUCCAUAGCAUGUAUGCAGAAUUCUGUCUUUGUUCAGGCACCAUUGACCAACCAGCAGAGGCCGCAGUUGCAGCAGCAAUAAUAAAUACCUUGGGCACGCCCCUCCAGCAGAUAUCAGCCAAUCACGUCCGUGUAGGCACCAGGCUGGCCUAUAGAGAAGCUGAGAUUCAAACUCGAGAGCUGAGGAUCUCAGCAAUGUGCACUGUGGGUUGUGAAGCAGUCAGGAUGGCCGAGCGGUCUAAGGCGCUGCGUUCAGGUCGCAGUCUCCCCUGGAGGCGUGGGUUCGAAUCCCACUUCUGACAGAGCCAAAUUUUUUUGUCUAGACUGAGCUUGUAUGUUUAGAUCUUUGAGCUCUGGAGGAGUUCCAGUGCAGCACAUUUUUAAAUUGUUAAUAGAGGAGAAAUGUGUUGUGUAACACGUGGUGUAAUGAUAAACAGAUCCAGCAGAGGGCGCAGCGCCCCAUACAUUCACUCUAAUAUGAACUAAAGGCUGGAAUUAGAAAAUAUUACAUACCUUUAAUAGGCUUUUUUACGUUUUAUGAACGUGUAUAGUAGCAGAUUGUAUACAACCGUAUGCAAAUAUGUUAAGCAAUUUCAUUCCACAAGUGUUAAACUUGCGAACUAUUAUUAAACUUAAAAUGUAAUGAAAAAAGUGCUGAAAGAGUUCUGUAAAACACUUUGAGUGUCUUAAAACUGUUGUAAUAAACUGGGUAAAAAAUCAAAUAAAAAAUAAAUUACAACCUUACAAACCUAUUGUUUAUUUUCAUGCUUUAUCCUGGUCAGGGUUGCGGUAGUCCGGUUUCCCCAGAAUAUUUGGUUGCAAUGCAGUAACUCUUACAGGAUGCCAAUUUAUUGUGAGGGCUUGGCAACCCCCCACUCUUUAUGUCUGUAUGUAGAUGCCCAACUGGCUGAUAGCACUUCUGUGGAUUUGAACCCUGUAUCCCAAUGGUAGUGGGCUAGCAUAAUUUAAUCAGACCUUAUUUGUAGUAAAAAUGAAAUAGAUUUAAGUAUAAUAGUUAUACGUUUACAUUAAAU